AAAAAUCCUCUAAAUGGUGUCAUUCCAGCUUCUGUCGGGAACUUAUCUUCCUCACUUCGAACAUUCACUGCCAGCAACUGCAAAUCCAGUGGCAGCAUUCCUGUUGAAAUAGGCAAUUUAAGCAAUUUGAUGACAUUGGUUUUCCAAGAAAAUGAGUUAUCUGGUAAUAUUCCACUAACUAUAAGCCAUUUGCAUGACCUGCAAGGAUUAUAUCUGUUGGAUAACAUGUUGGGAGGCUCAAUACCACAUGCUAUAUGUGAUCUAUUCAACCUCAAUACUUUAUAUUUAAGCCACAAUCAAUUUUCAGGUCCAAUUCCUAAUUGUCUAGGAAAUGUCUCUUCUUUAAGAAAUAUUUUUCUACACUCCAACAUGUUGAAUUCAAGCAUACCGUCAAGCUUAUGGGGCCUAAAAGAUUUGAACUCUCUAGACUUGUCCUCGAAUUCAUUGACUGGGUUCUUACCUCAAGAGAUAAGUAACUUAGGAGCAUCAAUAUAUAUAAACCUAUCGAUGAAUCAAUUGUCAGAUUCUAUUCCUAGCACUAUUGGGAAGUUGCAGAAUUUGGUUAAUUUGUCUUUGGCAAAUAAUAGACUAGAAGGUUCUAUUCCUAUGUCUAUGGGAAGCAUGAUCAGUUUGGUAACUCUUGAUUUGUCUUACAACAACCUCUCUUCUUCAAUUCCAAAGUCUUUGGAAGCACUUCAACACCUUGACUACUUUAAUGUAUCUUUCAACAGUUUAAGUGGAGAAAUUCCUAAUGGCGGUUCUUUUAGAAACUUCACUAUGGGUUCUUUUAAGGGUAAUGAGGCAUUGUGUGGAAUUCCCAAGUUUCAUGUCCGGAUUUGCCAUGAAAUUUCUAAUCAUGGAUCAAAGAGGAAGAAGGUGGAAAGAGCUUCAUUUAUUGUUUUGGGGGCUGUGGCUUUUAUCUCAGUUGUUUCUGUGGCCUUUAUAAUUGUCAGAUACAAAAGGAAAGAUAAGACAACUAGAGAAGUUGAUGGGAUGAUAUCCAUUGUGCCGGAAAGAGUCUCUUAUUAUGAAUUGCUACAAGCAACUGAACAAUUCGAUGAAAGCAAUUUACUUGGCACCGGGAGUUCUUGCUCUGUUUAUAGAGGAAUUCUUAACAAUGGGAAGGAUGUCGCUGUCAAGGUGUUUAAUAUGCAGUUAGAAGGUAUUUCAAGAAGAUUUGAUGUCGAAUGUGAGAUACUACGUAGCAUUCGACACAGAAAUCUGACGAAUGUCAUAUGCAGUUGCUCUAAUGAAGAGUUCAAAGCAUUAGUACUUGAAUAUAUGCCAAAGGGAAGCCUUGAAAAAUGAUUAUAUUCCCACAAUAUUGCUUGAAUGUGAUGGAAAGAUUGAAUAUAAUGAUUGAUGUUGCAUCUUCUUUGGAGUAUCUUCACCAUGGUUAUUCAACGCCCAUUGUCCACAGUGACUUGAAGCCUAGUAAUGUGUUGUUAGAUGAAGACAUGGUUGCCCAUGUAAGCGAUUUUGGGAUAGCAAAGUUGUUAUGUGAUGGAGAUAGCUUUGUGUUAACCAACACGCUAGCAACAUUGGGUUACAUCGCUCCAGGUGAAGUUUCUUUGCAUAUAUUGAUUUAUAUAUUGAUUAUACUUCACUUUCACUCAAUUAACUCGUGUCUUCCCUUACUACAUAUUAUGAGUCAUGGUUUUUUGUUGCUCCAGAGUAUGGUUUGGAAGGGCUAGUUUCGAUAAAAUGUGAUGUGUAUAGCUACGGAGUGAUGUUGACUGAAACUUUUACGAGAAAAAGGCCUAGUGAUGAUAUGUUUUGCGGAGAUAAGAGCUUAAAGAGAUGGGUAGAACUCUCACUUUCAGAGAUCCCAGAUGAAGUGAUAGAUGCCAACUUAGUCAUGAAUUUGGAGGAAGAACAGUUUGACAAGAAUAUGCAAUGUGUAUCAUCUAUACUUAAACUGGCUUUAAAAUGUUCUGCCGACUCUCCCGGGGAUAGAAUCAACAUGAAAGAAGCGCAUGCGGAAUUGCAGAAAAUCAAACAUCGGUUUUCCCAAUGAGAAUGAAGUAAGUUAUUUCAAAGUUUUAUGUUUUUUCUAGGAUAAUAUAUUUGUUUGGUUUUUAGUAUUUGAAGGUAGUAUUUUUAUUAGUCUUGCAAUAAAAUUGAGUGUGAUGUAUACUUCGUUGAAGCAUUUUCUCGAACACCAUGAACUCAAUCUUUGAUUAGGAAGAAUGCAGCAUUUUCUCGAACACCACUGCCAGCAAUCUUUUCCAUCAAUAUCAUCAACCAAAUAGUAAAUGAUAUCUACCUGAUUUUGUGGAACUAGUUUAAGAAAAUUCAUGUAAAUUAAUAAAUGAUUCACCAUGUAAUUAGUAUAUGAAUAAAACUAUGUAGAAACUGUAGUUAGCUUGCCUGGGAUGGGAGUCGGGGUGCAACCUCGUUUAGAAAGUAAAGCAAUCCAAGUCGGCUCCUAACAAAAUCCAUUGGCCUUCCGCCGCCGCUGCGCAUAGUGGCGCUGCAGGCGAUGAGUUAAGGUGGACCAGCGGUGUAUAAAACUCUCUGUUUUGAGAAGUUAUUCGAAGUCAU
This 2544-nucleotide long non-coding RNA is filed under the name Salvia miltiorrhiza (redroot sage). Its description in RNAcentral is "long non-coding RNA (SMIL_LNC007958)". The record is from RNAcentral. Lineage: Eukaryota; Viridiplantae; Streptophyta; Magnoliopsida; Lamiales; Lamiaceae.